UUGAUGCCUUUUCAGUUUGGUUGUGAAGGGAGCUCUGCUUAUCACAACAGGUGCACAGGCCACUCACAAAACCAGAAGCAGCCCAACAUUGAAAUGCUAAGAAAUUACUUGUUCUCUUUGUCAGCUGCUCACACAAGCAGUCUAAAGCCUACUUGGAAGGAGAUAUUGUGUCCUUGUAAAGGACAGAAGGUGGGAGGGGGGCAUGAAAGGUUAAGACUGAAAAGAAGCGAGAGAGAGGCGAGAGGAGGGGAAGGGUUGGCUGGCCAAACUCAAGAAGCUUGCUCCCAGAAGACAAAUGCAAUCCAGUAAAGGAAAAGAACAAGAGGACACGUCUGGCAGAAGCCUGGAACCUCCAUCCCCCAUCCUACCAGAAGAUACUGUACAACCGCAGGUCACCCAACAGUCUCCAUCCAUCUGCCACUGGCCCGCCUGUCGUCAAAUUUUAAAAUGCAAUGCGGCCCCUGUGUCUAACAGUUUGCCCAUGUCUGAUAUACAUACAUUAUAUAUAGUGUACAAUAUAAUAUAUAAACAUUUCUUGGAGCUCCACAAGAAACUUUUCCUUCAAAAAGGGCCCCACAGCUGAAAAAGUUUGAGAACCCUGGAACAGAAUGUUCAUUCUGCAUCUUAACUUUGGAGAGAGAGAGAGGCAAGUACAUCUACCAUUUGCAUUUUUAAGAAACGAGAAAACCAAGACUUCUUUGUUCAUCUGUAUGCUGUACAUUAUUACAAACUGGAUGGUGUACCCAACACACCAUGAAUCCUACAUGCAGUUUACAUCACAUCAUCUCAAAAGGCCUUUGGCCGAACUGGAAAAAUGUGCAGAGAAGUGAUCCGUCAUGGCUAAUCUUCCAUACAAAGAAAGGCUGGAAAGGUUAGGACUUGAGAUUAUAAAUAUCAUUUACUCAGAGAUAAAAUGAUACUAUGUAGGAUUUAAGUAAUGGAUCCAGCUCAAUGAUUUGUUUGUUUUUCACUCUGACUGUUAGGUAAGUUUAUGGUUCAGUGAAAUAAAACAGCAAUUUGUUUGCAAAGGUGUCAGGAAGCAUGAAUGUGUGUUAUUACUCCAUCUUGCACAUUUCACGGACUAAGUUUCUAACAUGUACUUCCAGAUCUUAAAAGUCUUGGCAUGAGGUUUUAUCAUGUGCUUCCCAUUAGCAUCAGAAGGGAGAGGGGGGAAAUCACAUGCUAAACCCUUCAACUAUUUUGGAAAAUGUUACUUCCUCAGUUCUGUUCUAGAAGUGAGGGAGGAGUAAAAAAUGGAACUUGAUUUUCAGUUUAAUAACUUUUAGUAUAUGAUCACUAUCUGCUUACAGCAUAUUUUGGCUUUGGCUUUUAAAUGUGGAAAGCAACCUGGAGAAUGGAGAUCAUUAGUGUGUAGACAGAAAAAAGAAAUGAAAAAAGACAUCUUCACUGCAGCACCCAAAAUCCUUGCUUACAUAAGUAAAUAAUAUAUGGCACCAUAUGAGACAUUUUUAAGAAACCUUUUUGGUGUGAGCUGAGCAACCUUUGAAUCACUUAAGGUGCCUAUUGCAAGCAAGGUGCCUGAUAUUUUUAGCACCAAAUC
Anolis carolinensis (green anole) is the source of this 1561-nucleotide long non-coding RNA. RefSeq lists it as uncharacterized. The transcript has 3 exons. NCBI's taxonomy places the organism in Eukaryota, Metazoa, Chordata, Lepidosauria, Squamata, Anolidae. The record is from RefSeq and is a predicted model, not a curated record.